UCCUACGGGGCGCAGCAGUGAGGAAUAUUGGUCAAUGGGCGCGAGCCUGAACCAGCCAAGUCGCGUGAGGGAGGACGGCCCUACGGGUUGUAAACCUCUUUUGCCGGGGAGCAACGGGCGUCACGUGUGGCGCCACUGAGAGUACCCGGAGAAAAAGCAUCGGCUAACUCCGUGCCAGCAGCCGCGGUAAUACGUAGGUGGCAAGCGUUGUCCGGAUUUAUUGGGCGUAAAGCGAGUGCAGGCGGUUCA
Molecule: ribosomal RNA, 249 nt
Filed under: uncultured bacterium
Lineage: Bacteria
Description: partial 16S ribosomal RNA
Rfam family: Bacterial small subunit ribosomal RNA
Source: RNAcentral